RNAcentral lists this transfer RNA (77 nucleotides) under Escherichia coli. Its description in RNAcentral is "tRNA-Val". It matches the Rfam family "tRNA". Rfam says of the family: Transfer RNA (tRNA) molecules are approximately 80 nucleotides in length. Their secondary structure includes four short double-helical elements and three loops (D, anti-codon, and T loops). Lineage: Bacteria; Pseudomonadati; Pseudomonadota; Gammaproteobacteria; Enterobacterales; Enterobacteriaceae. RNAcentral also lists the same sequence under 1 other name. The record is from RNAcentral.
GCGUCCGUAGCUCAAUUGGUUAGAGCACCACCUUGACAUGGUGGGGGUCGGUGGUUCGAGUCCACUCGGACGCACCA